GGAGAGGUGGCCGAGUGGUCGAAGGCACGCCCCUGCUAAGGGCGCAGGGCUCUAAAGGUCCUCGUGGGUUCGAAUCCCAUCCUCUCCGCCA
Molecule: transfer RNA, 91 nt
Filed under: Devosia ginsengisoli
Lineage: Bacteria; Pseudomonadati; Pseudomonadota; Alphaproteobacteria; Hyphomicrobiales; Devosiaceae
Also listed under: 4 other names
Description: tRNA-Ser
Rfam family: tRNA
About the family: Transfer RNA (tRNA) molecules are approximately 80 nucleotides in length. Their secondary structure includes four short double-helical elements and three loops (D, anti-codon, and T loops).
Source: RNAcentral